GACACGCUGGCGGCGUGCCUAACACAUGCAAGUCGAACGGAGCUUUGUGGAAUGCGACUUCGGUCAAAUGAAAUAAAGCUUAGUGGCGAACGGGUGAGUAACGCGUGAGGAACCUGCCUCUCAGUGGGGGACAACAGUUGGAAACGACUGCUAAUACCGCAUAAAACCGUAGUACCGCAUGGUACAUCGGUCAAAGAUUUAUUGCUGAGAGAUGGCCUCGCGUCUGAUUAGCUAGUUGGUAGGGUAACGGCCUACCAAGGCGACGAUCAGUAGCCGGACUGAGAGGUUGACCGGCCACAUUGGGACUGAGAUACGGCCCAGACUCCUACGGGAGGCAGCAGUGGGGAAUAUUGGGCAAUGGGCGAAAGCCUGACCCAGCAACGCCGCGUGAAGGAAGAAGGCCUUCGGGUUGUAAACUUCUUUUACCAGGGACGAACACAAUGACGGUACCUGGAGAAAAAGCAACGGCUAACUACGUG
RNAcentral lists this ribosomal RNA (479 nucleotides) under uncultured bacterium. Its description in RNAcentral is "bacterial SSU rRNA". It matches the Rfam family "Bacterial small subunit ribosomal RNA", at positions 33 to 507 of the family's 1533-position model. The record is from RNAcentral.